Molecule: long non-coding RNA, 2329 nt
Filed under: Gallus gallus (chicken)
Lineage: Eukaryota; Metazoa; Chordata; Aves; Galliformes; Phasianidae
Source: RNAcentral
CCGGAGGCGGCCGCCUGCUCUGAGGCGGUCCCGUCCCCUGAGGGGAGAGAAGGACGGGGCAGCGCUGUGGAGAUUUUCUCCUCGCCCUCCUCCCGGGCGCGGGAAAGAAGGACAGAAAGGCGAUGCCCUCACGGGGCCCGCGCCCAGCGCGCCCGGCUCCAGGAAAAGCCCCGUCCGCUUUCGUGGGGCAGGGGGUACCUUCCCCGGCCAGGCCCGGAGGAAGCGAGCCGCUCCAGCGCGGCGACCCACAGAGUGCGGCGGUGGCCUUGCGUCCUACCUGAGGGCUGCGCAGCAGGCGGCGGGGCCCGGGCGGGCAUGGCGGCGGUGGGGAAGAGGCGCGGGGACGCGGCCGGUUACCUGAGGCCUCCCGCGGCAGCCGCCAUCGAGGGGGAACCCAUGUCACGGCGACAGGAACAGCGUCGCGGCGGCCCGGCCCCCUCCCGGCGGCCACCUCCUCCUGCCCUGCCGCCACCGCCCACUUGGCCCCGCUCUUCCCGUCAGCCCCCGCACUGCCACCGCCCUUGGAACCGGCGUCACUCCCAGCAACGGCCGCGAGAACGCGAAGAAAUAAAAAAGCGAGGUACGCUACUAUGGGAAUGGCUCCUCCGUUACAGGAAGCAGCCGGGCCGCUCUGUGGCGCCAUCUUGGUUGAUGGCAAACUGCCUCACUCUCUGUAGGUCGGCCAUCUUGGACGAGGGGUGAGGUAGCUGGCAGGGAGGUGACGCUGCGGCUGCCAUGUUGAGUGAGGGCAGCCUAACAAGAUCUUGAUGGUGCUGCCGUAUGAGAUGGGGCAAUCAUCGUUCCACUUUUCACGUCUCUGUGUGACCAGAGGGUAAACAUCUUGAACUUCAGAGUCUGCAUACCACCUAAUCCCGAGGGAGUCCCCAGGGCCUGUCUGCAUUGAGCUGAAACCUCAGUUCUUAAGCAUCAGGAUCUGCCAGAUUUACAGCCUUCAAAGAGUAGGAUAGACAACAGCCCAGUUCAUCGGCACAGGCGUGAAGAACUGCACACAGAAAAGGAACAGGGCAGCCUUCCUACUAUAGUUGUGUCCAGAGCUGGCUGUCACUUCUCCACACAGACGAUGGCACCUGAGCCGGUUUGGAAUCUACAGUUCUAACAAGUUCAGCCAAGUUUUGUAAGCUGAAGAUCUCCGUUUAUCUUUAUUGUGUCAAUUGCUGACAGUGUUUCAAUACGGUGGUAAAAAUCAAAGAGCUGAUGUCCAUCCACAAAUAUUCUAAAACGGGGAUGCUCACAAAGUAUCUCAACCUGUAAAAAAUAAAAUGAUGAACCGUGUUCACAACGUAACUGGGAAGUUAUUUCACAGGAUGCAAAGAGCACCGGAUUAGCCUUUAAGCAGCGUUGGUAUGGUUACACAUCUUGCUACUUGCACGCCACGUAGCAGAGAAAGCUGAGCCCCCUUUGCCCCCACGACCCCAGUUACACUACAAGGGAUCUGCUCGCACUUCACAGAGAUGUUAAUCCAGCCUCACACAGCCAGGGUGGGGAGGACCCCCAAACCCUGAUGCACAGCUCUGCAGAUUAUGGUCCUGCUGGCACCAGGGAGGUUUUCUCUCUGUGAAUAAUGCCAGAAGCAAACUGCUAAUUAAAGGUAUAUCCAACCCAAAUCUUGCAUUCCUGGCUACAGAUGUUUGUUUGUUUUUUUUUUCCCGGCAGAAUGAGGGGGCAGCUCCCUCUGCAGUGUUUUCCAUGCUGCCAUUAAUUCAGUGGAAGAGAGCAAACAUGAGAGGGAUAGGUUUGCCCUCCACUCCCACACGCCAGAACUGCACUUACACAGCUGCUGUGCAACUAAAAAGCUUCUGCUGUGGCGACUGCACACAGGACUGCCUGCUGGACUAGGGGCUGCAGUGAGGGAGACGUAGCACAGGACAGCUUAAAUACAGCCAGACAGCCCACACAAGGCACAGCCUGCACAAGGGAAGGAUAAAGCUCAUCUCUCGUCCUACGGCCCUGGAGAAAUAAUCUAGAAAAGCCACAAGGAGAGGAGCUAGACCACUCGUUCUGGAUAAAUAUUCCUGAUAUCGAGGGUGGCUUGAUGCCUUGAGGAUAAGCUUUGCUAGAGCUGCCCCAUCAGGAAGCCAAGACGAGAAGGCACAAAACAUGCAUUUUUUGUAUGCGCCCUCAUAGACCUCCAGGUCUGGAAAGGCUGAGAAGCGAAUCUGCAGGGAAGCCAUGUGCAAAUCCUGGGUUGUUUCUGAGGCCGGUAGUCUGGAGCAAAGUGAGUGAUAAACUGAGCGAGUCGAAGUGCGUCUGAUUUAGGGCAUAUCAUACUGAGGAAGUAGCAGCAGACUGCCCACAGGACCUGGUAGCG